This 322-nucleotide ribosomal RNA is filed under the name uncultured eukaryote. Its description in RNAcentral is "partial 18S ribosomal RNA". It matches the Rfam family "Eukaryotic small subunit ribosomal RNA", at positions 1470 to 1796 of the family's 1831-position model. The record is from RNAcentral.
CCCUUAGAUGUUCUGGGCCGCACGCGUGCUACACUGAGUGGAUCAGCGGGUCAGGUUGCGCGAAAGUGUUUCCUAAUCUUUAAAUCCGCUCGUGAUGGGGAUUGACGGUUGCAAUUUUCCGUCAUGAACGAGGAAUACCUUGUAAGCGCGGGUCAUCAUCCCGUGCUGAAUACGUCCCUGCCCUUUGUACACACCGCCCGUCGCUCCUACCGAUUGAGUGGUCCGGUGAGGCUUUGGGAUCUGAGCGGAAAGAGCGUUUCGCUGUUUCUGCCCGGAAAACUCAGUCGAACCUUAUCAUUUAGAGGAAGGAGAAGUCGUAACA